Molecule: ribosomal RNA, 515 nt
Filed under: uncultured bacterium
Lineage: Bacteria
Description: partial 16S ribosomal RNA
Rfam family: Bacterial small subunit ribosomal RNA
Source: RNAcentral
GAUGAACGCUGGCGGCGUGCCUAAUACAUGCAAGUCGAGCGAAUGGAUUAAGAGCUUGCUCUUAUGAAGUUAGCGGCGGACGGGUGAGUAACACGUGGGUAACCUGCCCAUAAGACUAGGAUAACUCCGGGAAACCGGGGCUAAUACCGGAUAACAUUUUGAACCGCAUGGUUCGAAAUUGAAAGGCGGCUUCGGCUGUCACUUAUGGAUGGACGCGCGUCGCAUUAGCUAGUUGGUGAGGUAACGGCUCACCAAGGCAACGAUGCGUAGCAGACCUGAGAGGGUGAUCGGCCACACUGGGACUGAGACACGGCUCAGACUCCUACGGGAGGCAGCAGUAGGGAAUCUUCCGCAAUGGACGAAAGUCUGACGGAGCAACGCCGCGUGAGUGAUGAAGGCUUUCGGGUCGUAAAACUCUGUUGUUAGGGAAGAACAAGUGCUAGUUGAAUAAGCUGGCACCUUGACGGUACCUAACCAGAAAGCCACGGCUAACUACGUGCCAGCCGCCGCAGUAA